RNAcentral lists this ribosomal RNA (1402 nucleotides) under uncultured bacterium. Its description in RNAcentral is "16S ribosomal RNA". It matches the Rfam family "Bacterial small subunit ribosomal RNA". The record is from RNAcentral.
AGAGUUUGAUCCUGGCUCAGGAUGAACGCUAGCGGCAGGCUUAACACAUGCAAGUCGAGGGGCAGCGGGGAGGAAGCUUGCUUUCUCCGCCGGCGACCGGCGCACGGGUGAGUAACACGUAUGCAACCUGCCCCUGUCAGGGGGACAACCCGCCGAAAGGCGGGCUAAACCCGCGUACAUGCCACCGGGGCAUCCCGGAGGCAGGAAAGGCUUCGGCCGGACAGGGAUGGGCAUGCGGCGCAUUAGGCAGUAGGCGGGGUAACGGCCCACCUAACCGACGAUGCGUAGGGGUUCUGAGAGGAAGGUCCCCCACACUGGUACUGAGACACGGACCAGACUCCUACGGGAGGCAGCAGUGAGGAAUAUUGGUCAAUGGUCGGGAGACUGAACCAGCCAAGCCGCGUGAGGGAGGAAGGUACAGAGUAUCGUAAACCUCUUUUGUCAGGGAACAAAGGCGGGGACGUGUCCCCGGAUGAGUGUACCCGAAGAAAAAGCAUCGGCUAACUCCGUGCCAGCAGCCGCGAUAAUACGGAGGAUGCGAGCGUUAUCCGGAUUUAUUGGGUUUAAAGGGUGCGCAGGCGGUCUGUUAAGUCAGCGGUCAAAGCCCGGGGCUCAACCCCGGCCCGCCGUUGAAACUGGCAGUCUCGAGUUGGAGAGAAGUAUGCGGAAUGCGCGGUGUAGCGGUGAAAUGCAUAGAUAUCGCGCAGAACUCCGAUUGCGAAGGCAGCAUGCCGGCUCCACACUGACGCUGAGGCACGAAAGCGUGGGUAUCGAACAGGAUUAGAUACCCUGGUAGUCCACGCAGUAAACGAUGAAUGCUGGCUGUCCGGGGGGACUGACCCCUGGGUGGCGAAGCGAAAGCGAUAAGCAUUCCACCUGGGGAGUACGCCGGCAACGGUGAAACUCAAAGGAAUUGACGGGGGCCCGCACAAGCGGAGGAACAUGUGGUUUAAUUCGAUGAUACGCGAGGAACCUUACCCGGGCUCAAACGGGGAGUGGCGCAGGCAGAGACGCCUGUUUCCCACGGGACACUCCCCGAGGUGCUGCAUGGUUGUCGUCAGCUCGUGCCGUGAGGUGUCGGCUUAAGUGCCAUAACGAGCGCAACCCCCGCGUGCAGUUGCUAACAGUCAACGCUGAGGACUCUGCACGGACUGCCGGCGCAAGCCGCGAGGAAGGCGGGGAUGACGUCAAAUCAGCACGGCCCUUACGUCCGGGGCGACACACGUGUUACAAUGGGUGGUACAGCGGGAAGCCAGGCGGCGACGCCGAGCGGAACCCGAAAUCCACUCUCAGUUCGGAUCGGAGUCUGCAACCCGACUCCGUGAAGCUGGAUUCGCUAGUAAUCGCGCAUCAGCCAUGGCGCGGUGAAUACGUUCCCGGGCCUUGCACUCACCGCCCGUCA